AUAUUGGGCAAUGGGCGCAAGCCUGACCCAGCGACGCCGCGUGCGGGAGGAAGCCUUUCGGGGUGUAAACCGCUGUCAGAGGGGACGAACGGCCUCAUGGGGAAUACUCAUGGGGAUUGACGGUACCCUCAAAGGAAGCGCCGGCUAACUCCGUGCCAGCAGCCGCGGUAAUACGGAGGGCGCAAGCGUUGUUCGGAAUCACUGGGCGUAAAGCGCGCGCAGGCGGGUGUGCAAGUCGGAAGUGAAAUACCGGGGCUCAACUCCGGGGCUGCUUCCGAUACUGCAUGUCUGGAGACCGGUAGAGGUGGGUGGAAUUCCCGGUGUAGCGGUGGAAUGCGUAGAGAUCGGGAAGAACACCUGUGGCGAAGGCGGCCCACUGGGCCGGAUCUGACGCUGAGGCGCGAAAGCGUGGGGAGCAA
Molecule: ribosomal RNA, 419 nt
Filed under: uncultured bacterium
Lineage: Bacteria
Description: bacterial SSU rRNA
Rfam family: Bacterial small subunit ribosomal RNA
Source: RNAcentral